AGUGAACGCUGGCGGCAUGCCUAACACAUGCAAGUCGAACGGUAACGGGCCCGCAAGGGUGCCGACGAGUGGCGGACGGGUGAGGAAUGCAUCGGAAUCUGCCCGGUUGUGGGGGAUAACCUAGGGAAACUUAGGCUAAUACCGCAUACGACCGAGAGGUGAAAGCGGGGGAUCGCAAGACCUCGCGCGAUCGGAUGAGCCGAUGUCGGAUUAGCUAGUUGGUGGGGUAAGGGCCCACCAAGGCGACGAUCCGUAGCUGGUCUGAGAGGAUGAUCAG
Molecule: ribosomal RNA, 277 nt
Filed under: uncultured bacterium
Lineage: Bacteria
Description: partial 16S ribosomal RNA
Rfam family: Bacterial small subunit ribosomal RNA
Source: RNAcentral